AUACGGAGGGUGCAAGCGUUGUUCGGAAUCACUGGGCGUAAAGCGCGCGUAGGCGGCUACUUAAGUCAGAUGUGAAAUCCCCGGGCUCAACCUGGGAACUGCAUCUGAUACUGGGUAGCUAGAGUUUAGGAGAGGGAAGUAGAAUUUCAGGUGUAGCGGUGAAAUGCAUAGAGAUCUGAAGGAAUACCAGUGGCGAAGGCGGCUUCCUGGCCUAAAACUGACGCUGAGGUGCGAAAGCGUGGGUAGCAAACGGGAUUAGAUACCCCAGUAGUCC
Molecule: ribosomal RNA, 274 nt
Filed under: uncultured bacterium
Lineage: Bacteria
Description: partial 16S ribosomal RNA
Rfam family: Bacterial small subunit ribosomal RNA
Source: RNAcentral